AGUGAACGCUGGCGGUAGGCCUAACACAUGCAAGUCGAACGGCAGCACAGUAAGAGCUUGCUCUUACGGGUGGCGAGUGGCGGACGGGUGAGGAAUACAUCGGAAUCUACUUUUUCGUGGGGGAUAACGUAGGGAAACUUACGCUAAUACCGCAUACGACCUACGGGUGAAAGCAGGGGAUCUUCGGACCUUGCGCGAUUGAAUGAGCCGAUGUCGGAUUAGCUAGUUGGCGGGGUAAAGGCCCACCAAGGCGACGAUCCGUAGCUGGUCUGAGAGGAUGAUCAGCCACACUGGAACUGAGACACGGUCCAGACUCCUACGGGAGGCAGCAGUGGGGAAUAUUGGACAAUGGGCGCAAGCCUGAUCCAGCCAUACCGCGUGGGUGAAGAAGGCCUUCGGGUUGUAAAGCCCUUUUGUUGGGAAAGAAAAGCAGCAGGUUAAUACCCCGCUGUUCUGACGGUACCCAGAAUAAGCACCGGCUAACUGCG
This 488-nucleotide ribosomal RNA is filed under the name uncultured bacterium. Its description in RNAcentral is "partial 16S ribosomal RNA". It matches the Rfam family "Bacterial small subunit ribosomal RNA", at positions 29 to 505 of the family's 1533-position model. The record is from RNAcentral.